This is a long non-coding RNA of Myotis daubentonii (Daubenton's bat), 313 nucleotides long. RefSeq lists it as uncharacterized. The record is from RefSeq and is a predicted model, not a curated record. Lineage: Eukaryota; Metazoa; Chordata; Mammalia; Chiroptera; Vespertilionidae.
GCUAUCUCAGGCUGUGGCCAAGCAGGGGGCCUGUGGGAAGGUUAGAAGCCUCACCAAGGUCAAGAAAGCAGAGGGCAAGACAUGGGCAAUUGUGAACGCAUGAUCAGUUCUGAGAAGUAAGAUGGGAGACAUGAACACAGUCAUGAAAACCAUGGCAGGAAGACCAUUUCAGGAGCAGGUACCUUCCUUCAAGUGCAGUCUGUCCCUACGCUGAUGGUGCUGGAGGCCAGCCUUGGCUUCCCAUCCUGAGGAGUAAGGACAAAGACCUAACUUACCCUGCAGCAGCCACAACACCGGCAGUCUCCACACAGGG